AGAGUUUGAUCAUGGCUCAGGAUGAACGCUGGCGGCGUGCCUAAUACAUGCAAGUCGAGCGAAAAUCAUUUGAACUGAGAUUCGUCAAGGUGAUCUUGAAGAAAGCGGCGGACGGGUGACUAACGCGUAUGCAACCUGCCCUUACCUCAGGGAUAGCCAUUGGAAACGAUGAUUAAAACCUCAUAAUGCCGAAGAGUCACAUGUCUUUUCAGCCAAAGAUUUAUCGGCUAACGAUGGACCUGCGUCUGAUUAACUAAUUGGUGAGGUAACGGCCCACCAAGGUGACGAUCAGUAACCUACCUGAGAGGGUGAUCGGCCGCAUUGGAACUGAGACUCCGUCCGAACUUCUACGGAGGGCAUCAUUAACGAAUCUUGCACCCUGGGGGAAACCCUGAUGCAUCAACGCCGCGUGAACUAUGAAUGCCUUAUGGUUGUAAAGUUCUGAUCUGUGGGAAGAAUAAAGUGACAGUACCCCACGAAAAAGCCCCGGCUAACUACGUGCCAACAUCCGCGGUAAUACGUAUGGGGCAAGCGUUAUCCGGAAUUAUUGGGCGUAAAGAGUGCGUAGUGUGGUUACCUAAACGCAAGGUUUAAUCUUGAGGCUCAACCUCAUUCUGCCUUGCGAACUGGGCUACUUGAGUGCUGGAGRGKAAAGCGGAAUUCCCAGUGUAGCGGUGAAAUCGCGUAGAUAUUGGGAAGARCACSGGUGGYGAAGGCGGCUUUCUGGACAGUAASUGACACWGAGGSASRAAAGCGUGGGGAGCAAACASGGAUUAGAUACCACUGGUARUCCACGCCGUAAACGAUGAGCASUASUUGUUGGGUACGAAUGUAUUCAGUGACGCAGUUAACGCAAUAAGUGCUCCGUACGGGGAGUACGGUGGCAACACUAAAAAUCAAGGGAAUUGACGGGGACCCGCACAAGCAGCGGAGCAUGUGGUUUAAUUGGAAGCAACGCGAACAACUUUAGCAGGGCUUGACAUCCUUCUGACCGGAUCUUAACCGAUCCUUUGUUAGGACAGAGGUGACAGGUGGUGCAUGGUCGUCGUCAGUUCGUGUAGUGAGAUGUUGGGUUAAGUCCGGCAACGAGCGCAACCCUUGUCGUCAGUUAAUAACAUUUGGUAGAGGACUCUGACGAGCCUGCCGAGGUCAACUCGGAGGAAGGUGGGGAUGACGUCAAAUCAUCAUGCCCGUUAUGUUAUGGGCUACACACGUGCUACAAUGGCCGGUACAAUGAGAGGCAAAGCCGCGAGUCAGAGCAAAUCACCAAAACCGGUCCCACUUCGGAUUGCUGGCUGCAACUAGCUUGCAUGAAGUCGGAGUUGCUAGUAAUCGUGAAUCAGCAUGUCGCGGUGAAUGCGUUCCCGGGUCUUGUACACACCGCCCGUCACUCCAUGGAAGUUGGGGGCGCCCAAAGUUGGCUAAUCAAUAUGCUACCUAAGGCGAAACCAAUGACUGGGGUGAAGUCGUAACAAGGUAGCCGUA
This 1485-nucleotide ribosomal RNA is filed under the name uncultured rumen bacterium. RNAcentral's name for it is "partial 16S ribosomal RNA". It matches the Rfam family "Bacterial small subunit ribosomal RNA". The record is from RNAcentral.